AACGCACCUUGCGCCCCUUGGUAUUCCGAGGGGCAUGCCUGUUUGAGUGUCAUUAAAUUCUCAACUCCAUUUGAUUUGUUUCAAACCUGGAGCUUGGACUUGGAGUGUGCUGGCGUUGACCGUCGGCUCCUCUCAAAUGCAUCGGCGGAAUUGAACCUUUGACUUUCGAACGUCAGUGUGAUAAUCAACGUUGCGCUGUCGACCGGGGUCGGAGUCCGCUUACAAUCGUCCUCGGACAACUUAUCAAAUUUGACCUCAAAUCAGGUAGGACUACCCGCUGAACUUAA
Molecule: unclassified non-coding RNA, 287 nt
Filed under: uncultured Atheliales
Lineage: Eukaryota; Fungi; Basidiomycota; Agaricomycetes; Atheliales
Description: sequence contains ITS2
Rfam family: 5.8S ribosomal RNA (bases 1-52)
Source: RNAcentral